This 597-nucleotide ribosomal RNA is filed under the name uncultured Bacteroidales bacterium. RNAcentral describes it as "bacterial SSU rRNA". It matches the Rfam family "Bacterial small subunit ribosomal RNA", at positions 67 to 654 of the family's 1533-position model. Lineage: Bacteria; Pseudomonadati; Bacteroidota; Bacteroidia; Bacteroidales. The record is from RNAcentral.
CAGCAUGGUCUUAGCUUGCUAAGGCCGAUGGCGACCGGCGCACGGGUGAGUAACACGUAUCCAACCUGCCGUCUACUCUUGGACAGCCUUCUGAAAGGAAGAUUAAUACAAGAUGGCAUCAUGAGUCCGCAUGUUCACAUGAUUAAAGGUAUUCCGGUAGACGAUGGGGAUGCGUUCCAUUAGAUAGUAGGCGGGGUAACGGCCCACCUAGUCUUCGAUGGAUAGGGGUUCUGAGAGGAAGGUCCCCCACAUUGGAACUGAGACACGGUCCAAACUCCUACGGGAGGCAGCAGUGAGGAAUAUUGGUCAAUGGGCGAGAGCCUGAACCAGCCAAGUAGCGUGAAGGAUGACUGCCCUAUGGGUUGUAAACUUCUUUUAUAAAGGAAUAAAGUCGGGUAUGUAUACCCGUUUGCAUGUACUUUAUGAAUAAGGAUCGGCUAACUCCGUGCCAGCAGCCGCGGUAAUACCGGAGGAUCCCGAGCGUUAUCCGGAUUUAUUGGGUUUAAAGGGAGCGUAGAUGGAUGUUUAAGUCAGUUGUGAAAGUUUGCGGCUCAACCGUAAAAUUGCAGUUGAUACUGGAUAUCUUGAGUGCAGUUG